RNAcentral lists this ribosomal RNA (664 nucleotides) under Leuconostoc mesenteroides. RNAcentral's name for it is "bacterial SSU rRNA". It matches the Rfam family "Bacterial small subunit ribosomal RNA", at positions 64 to 714 of the family's 1533-position model. Lineage: Bacteria; Bacillati; Bacillota; Bacilli; Lactobacillales; Lactobacillaceae. The record is from RNAcentral.
GCACAGCGAAAGGUGCUUGCACCUUUCAAGUGAGUGGCGAACGGGUGAGUAACACGUGGACAACCUGCCUCAAGGCUGGGGAUAACAUUUGGAAACAGAUGCUAAUACCGAAUAAAACUUAGUGUCGCAUGACAAAAAGUUAAAAGGCGCUUCGGCGUCACCUAGAGAUGGAUCCGCGGUGCAUUAGUUAGUUGGUGGGGUAAAGGCCUACCAAGACAAUGAUGCAUAGCCGAGUUGAGAGACUGAUCGGCCACAUUGGGACUGAGACACGGCCCAAACUCCUACGGGAGGCUGCAGUAGGGAAUCUUCCACAAUGGGCGAAAGCCUGAUGGAGCAACGCCGCGUGUGUGAUGAAGGCUUUCGGGUCGUAAAGCACUGUUGUAUGGGAAGAACAGCUAGAAUAGGAAAUGAUUUUAGUUUGACGGUACCAUACCAGAAAGGGACGGCUAAAUACGUGCCAGCAGCCGCGGUAAUACGUAUGUCCCGAGCGUUAUCCGGAUUUAUUGGGCGUAAAGCGAGCGCAGACGGUUUAUUAAGUCUGAUGUGAAAGCCCGGAGCUCAACUCCGGAAUGGCAUUGGAAACUGGUUAACUUGAGUGCAGUAGAGGUAAGUGGAACUCCAUGUGUAGCGGUGGAAUGCGUAGAUAUAUGGAAGAACACCAGUG